AGCAUAUCAUUAAGCGGAGGAAAAGAAACCAACAGGGAUUGCCCCAGUAACGGCGAGUGAAGCGGCAACAGCUCAAAUUUGAAAUCUGGCCCCAGGCCCGAGUUGUAAUUUGCAGAGGAUGCUUUUGGCGCGGUGCCUUCCGAGUUCCCUGGAACGGGACGCCAUAGAGGGUGAGAGCCCCGUACGGUUGGACACCAAGCCUUUGUAAAGCUCCUUCGACGAGUCGAGUAGUUUGGGAAUGCUGCUCAAAAUGGGAGGUAUAUUUCUUCUAAAGCUAAAUAUUGGCCAGAGACCGAUAGCGCACAAGUAGAGUGAUCGAAAGAUGAAAAGCACUUUGAAAAGAGGGUUAAACAGCACGUGAAAUUGUUAAAAGGGAAGCGCUUAUGACCAGACUUGCGCCCGGUGAAUCACCCAGCUCUCGCGGCUGGGGCACUUUGCCGGCUCAGGCCAGCAUCAGCUCGCUGUCGGGGACAAAAGCUUCGGGAACGUAGCUCUCUUCGGGGAGUGUUAUAGCCCGUUGCACAAUACCCUUCGGCGGGCUGAGGUACGCGCUCCGCAAGGAUGCUGGCGUAAUGGUCAUCAGCGACCCGUCUUGAAACACGGACCAAGGAGUCAACCUUAUGUGCGAGUGUUUGGGUGUUAAACCCCUACGCGUAAUGAAAGUGAACGCAGGUGAGAGCUUCGGCGCAUCAUCGACCGAUCCUGAUGUUCUCGGAUGGAUUUGAGUAAGAGCAUAUAGGGUUGGACCCGAAAGAAGGUGAACUAUGCGUGUAUAGGGUGAAGCCAGAGGAAACUCUGGUGGAGGCUCGCAGCGGUUCUGACGUGCAAAUCGAUCGUCAAAUAUGCGCAUGGGGGCGAAAGACUAAUCGAACCUUCUAGUAGCUGG
This 886-nucleotide ribosomal RNA is filed under the name Colletotrichum aff. brassicicola. Its description in RNAcentral is "partial large subunit ribosomal RNA". It matches the Rfam family "Eukaryotic large subunit ribosomal RNA", at positions 37 to 954 of the family's 3401-position model. Lineage: Eukaryota; Fungi; Ascomycota; Sordariomycetes; Glomerellales; Glomerellaceae. The record is from RNAcentral.